This 459-nucleotide ribosomal RNA is filed under the name uncultured bacterium. RNAcentral's name for it is "partial 16S ribosomal RNA". It matches the Rfam family "Bacterial small subunit ribosomal RNA", at positions 338 to 795 of the family's 1533-position model. The record is from RNAcentral.
CCUACGGGAGGCUGCAGUGAGGAAUAUUGGUCAAUGGCCGAGAGGCUGAACCAGCCAAGUCGCGUGAGGGAUGACGGCCCUACGGGUUGUAAACCUCUUUUGUCGGGGAGCAAAGAGAGUCACGUGUGGCUCAUUGAGAGUACCCGAAGAAAAAGCAUCGGCUACCUCCGUGCCAGCAGCCGCGGUACUACGGAGGAUGCGAGCGUUAUCCGGUUUUAUUGGGUUUAAGGGGUGCGCAGGCGGGCUGUUAAGCCGGCGGUAAAAAUUCAGGGCUAAACCCGGUCGAGCCGUGGGAACUGGGAGUCUUGAGUGGGCGAGAAGGAUGCGGAAUGCGUGGUGUAGCGGUGAAAUGCAUAGAUAUCACGCAGAACGCCGAUUGCGAAGGCAGCAUACCGGCGCCCAACUGACGCUGAGGCACGAAAGCGUGGGGAUCGAACAGGAUUAGAUACCCUUGUAGUC